GGAGGAGAGGAAGUGGGAGCUGCAAGUUUAAACAAUCCAUUCAAUGAGCUUGGACAGGAAUGGUGCAUGACCACGCACAAAAACUUGGUGACAUCUUGCAGGGCAGAGAAUUUCCUCGCUUGUUUGGCAGAAAGUGCCCAGCUUUGCUCAAAGAGGUUGCCAGAUCAUCAUCUAGCUCCUAAGUUGCUGCUGAGAGUUUCAUCCAGCAAAUAUUUCGGUGCAGCUGAAUCAUCUUGCUUCCAGGGGGAAAUAAAACAAGGUAGGAGACCC
Molecule: long non-coding RNA, 270 nt
Organism: Tachyglossus aculeatus (Australian echidna)
Lineage: Eukaryota; Metazoa; Chordata; Mammalia; Monotremata; Tachyglossidae
Exons: 3
Source: RefSeq, a predicted model, not a curated record